Molecule: ribosomal RNA, 517 nt
Filed under: uncultured bacterium
Lineage: Bacteria
Description: bacterial SSU rRNA
Rfam family: Bacterial small subunit ribosomal RNA
Source: RNAcentral
AGAGUUUGAUUAUGGCUCAGAACGAACGCUGGCGGCGUGCUUAACACAUGCAAGUCGAACGGAGUUAAGCGCUGAAUGAGGCUUCGGCGGAUUCUUGCUUAACUUAGUGGCGGACGGGUGAGUAACGCGUGAGUAACUUGCCCUUGAGUGGGGAAUAACGUUCUGAAAAGAACGCUAAUACCGCAUAAUAUAUACUUGUCGCAUGGCAGGUAUAUCAAAGAUUUAUCGCUCGAGGAUGGACUCGCGUCCGAUUAGCUUGUUGGCGGGGUAACGGCCCACCAAGGCGACGAUCGGUAGCCGGACUGAGAGGUUGAACGGCCACAUUGGGACUGAGACACGGCCCAGACUCCUACGGGAGGCAGCAGUGGGGGAUAUUGCGCAAUGGGGGGAAAAACCCCCUGACGCAGCAACGCCGCGUGGAGGAUGACGGUUUUCGGAUUGUAAACUCCUUUUAUAAGGGACGAACUAAGACGGUACCUUAUGAAUAAGCUCCGGCUAACUACGUGCCAGCAGCUGC